This 506-nucleotide ribosomal RNA is filed under the name uncultured bacterium. Its description in RNAcentral is "partial 16S ribosomal RNA". It matches the Rfam family "Bacterial small subunit ribosomal RNA", at positions 29 to 523 of the family's 1533-position model. The record is from RNAcentral.
AGUGAACGCUGGCGGUAGGCCUAACACAUGCAAGUCGAACGGCAGCACAGAGGAGCUUGCUCCUUGGGUGGCGAGUGGCGGACGGGUGAGGAAUACAUCGGAAUCUACUCUGUCGUGAGGGAUAACGUAGGGAAACUUACGCUAAUACCGCAUACGACCUACGGGUGAAAGCAGGGGACCUUCGGGCCUUGCGCGAUUGAAUGAGCCGAUGUCGGAUGAGCUAGUUGGCGGGGUAAAGGCCCACCAAGGCGACGAUCCGUAGCUGGUCUGAGAGGAUGAUCAGCCACACUGGAACUGAGACACGGUCCAGACUCCUACGGGAGGCAGCAGUGGGGAAUAUUGGACAAUGGGCGCAAGCCUGAUCCAGCCAUACCGCGUGGGUGAAGAAGGCCUUCGGGUUGUAAAGCCCUUUUGUUGGGAAAGAAAUCCAGCUGGCUAAUACCCGGUUGGGAUGACGGUACCCAAAGAAUAAGCACCGGCUAACUUCGUGCCAGCCGCCGCGGUAA